GACGAACGCUGGCGGCGUGCUUAACACAUGCAAGUCGAACGGAAAGGCCCUGCUUUUGUGGGGUGCUCGAGUGGCGAACGGGUGAGUAACACGUGAGUAACCUGCCCUUGACUUUGGGAUAACUUCAGGAAACUGGGGCUAAUACCGGAUAGGAGCUCCUGCUGCAUGGUGGGGGUUGGAAAGUUUCGGCGGUUGGGGAUGGACUCGCGGCUUAUCAGCUUGUUGGUGGGGUAGUGGCUUACCAAGGCUUUGACGGGUAGCCGGCCUGAGAGGGUGACCGGCCACAUUGGCACUGAGAUACGGCCCAGACUCCUACGGGACGCAGCAGUGAGGAAUAUUGCACAAUGGACGGAAGCCUUAUGCAGCAACGCCGCGUGCGGGAUGACGGCCUUCGGGUUGUAAACCGCUUUCGCCUGUGACGAAGCGUGAGUGACGGUAAUGGGUAAAGAAGCACCGGCUAACUACGUG
Molecule: ribosomal RNA, 468 nt
Filed under: uncultured bacterium
Lineage: Bacteria
Description: partial 16S ribosomal RNA
Rfam family: Bacterial small subunit ribosomal RNA
Source: RNAcentral